AUCCAGCUGACCAGUCCCAAAAUGGGACGAAACGCGCGUCCUGGAU
RNAcentral lists this non-coding RNA (46 nucleotides) under Schistosoma mansoni. Lineage: Eukaryota; Metazoa; Platyhelminthes; Trematoda; Strigeidida; Schistosomatidae. The record is from RNAcentral.